UACAGAGGUGGCAAGCGUUGUUCGGAAUUACUGGGCGUAAAGCGUGCGUAGGCGGCUGAGAAAGUUGGGUGUGAAAUCCCUCGGCUCAACCGAGGAAUUGCGCUCAAAACUACUUGGCUUGAGGGAGUUAGAGGUGAGCGGAACUAAUGGUGGAGCGGUGAAAUGCGUUGAUAUCAUUAGGAACACCGGUGGCGAAAGCGGCUCACUGGGACUCUUCUGACGCUGAGGCACGAAAGCUAGGGUAGCGAACGGG
Molecule: ribosomal RNA, 253 nt
Filed under: uncultured bacterium
Lineage: Bacteria
Description: partial 16S ribosomal RNA
Rfam family: Bacterial small subunit ribosomal RNA
Source: RNAcentral